CAGGGGCAGCAACCCAACAACAUAAUGUCCGAUUCAUCUGAAAAUUUCAGGGCAGAUAGAUCUUGACCAGAUGAACUAUUUUACCCCAUGUCAGAUUUGCUCUAAAUGCUUUGGUUUUUGAGUUAUAAGCCAAAAACUGCAUUUUACCCCUAUGUUCUAUUUUUAGCCAUGGCGGCCAUCUUGGUUGGUUGGCCGGGUCACCGGACAAAUUUUUUAAACUAGAUACCCCAAUGAUGAUUGUGGCCAAGUUUGGUUAAAUUUGGCCCAGUAGUUUCAGAGGAGAAGAUUUUUGUAAAAGUUAACGCAGGACGUCGACGACGACGGACGCCGGACGCCGGACGCCAAGUGAUGAGAAAAGCUCACUUGGCCUCUCGGCCAGGUGAGCUAAAAAA
RNAcentral lists this long non-coding RNA (392 nucleotides) under Mytilus galloprovincialis (Mediterranean mussel). The record is from RNAcentral. Lineage: Eukaryota; Metazoa; Mollusca; Bivalvia; Mytilida; Mytilidae.